ACAAACAAAGAAACAAAAAACUUUGCAUUCAUUCUCCAAGCCCACGUGUAAUCCGUUUCUUCCCAUAGAGCAAGGCAAGAACCGGGGAUACAGAAAGCCCUCUGUCCUUUGCAAUAAGGCAAGGGUCUAACUGAGUUGACUAACACAAGCCGCCUAUAGACGGCAAACUAAAAGAGCACCCUGUAACACACGCCCUCUGAGCCUUCAGCUGUAAACAUUCACCCCUAGACACUGCCGUGGGGUUGGAGCCCCACAGCCUGCGGGUCUGUGUGCUCCCACAGAGGUCUGAGCAGCCGGGCACUCAAGAAGCGAUCCAUACGCCAUCGCACGCCCUGUGAGGGCGACAAAGGAACUUUUGCCGUUUCACUAUAGCAGCACCACACACCUCUUUUUAGGGAAUGAACUUAUGGUUGUAACAAAGAUAAAAUCACUGCAGAAAAAAAAAAAUCCCAAAAUAUCAUGUUAAUCAAACACAAAGUACAAAAGGCAUUGGAUUAAUGUUAGAAACUUGAUUGGGUUUGCAACUGAGAGAGAAUCACAAGGAAUGAGAGCACAUUUCCCUUUCUUCAUUGUUAUGAGAAUUGUUAGUGUACUUCAAACGUAUACUAUUUUUAGUCCUUUUAAAAUCAUUCAGAGCCUCAGUCCAGCAAGAUUCAUUUUAGAGGCACUGGUUCCUUAACAGCUAAACUCAAAAUAUGUUGUCGGAAAGAAAUGGCAUUAUGGAACACAUCGUGUUUAAAUACGCGACGUGUUGAAGAGCGUGUCUUGGUUCUUAAUCUUGAGAUCCACAGCAAAUGUGGAUGCUGAUAUGCAAGAUUCAGAGUAUAUAUUAACCUCCUUUUCCUUCUAGUGGCAAGAAAUUUAAGAUGGAAUUUAGAUUUCAGAAAACAUAACUGGUAACGUAUAUAACACUGAGAAAGAAACAAUCGUCCCUUUAUUGGAGUGAUUCUGUAGGUUUUAUUUAGUUUUCUUACUGCAAGGCUCCUUCCACCACCAUCACAGUGAUUUUUGUUGGACAUAGCUUGAACUCCUCCAUCAGAAUUAAAGAAGGAACAAACAAAUCCCCUUUCCUGCUAUAGAACAAAAGCAAACAAACAAAAGAAGCCCUACAACCCUCCUGCUGGUUCCAUCCCUCUGCUGGCCUCCUGCAGCUUGGUUCUUGCUGUUCUAUCCCUAAGCCAACUGCAGGCAGGCUGACCAUCUGCUGCUAGGUCACAGCUGCCUCUUCAAAAUUAGGCUCUGGUUCCUCUGUCCCAUUUUAAACGCCUGAUUAUUGUUAUCUGUUCCUUUUACCAUCUGCUGAAAAGCUGCCAAAACAGGUCUCUAUUUGGAAUCAUUGGUCUUGAAUAUUCCUUUAAGACAUAUAUAUCUCAUCUCUUAUUUUCUAGACAAGUAUCAUACACACAGAGUUCUUUCCUAAAGUAAUGGUCCCUUCUCUGAUAGAAUCCAGACUCUCAACUUCAGGCAGGUGCUUCAGGAGGUUUUCCAGAAGAAGGCAUUGCUAUCACAGCAGAUGGCAGCUCCAUGCAGUGGGACAAGAUGUGAAACUAGAAGAUGCUGGUAUUGAUGAUCCUGGCCCUGCGUAGGCCUAGGCCAAUAUAUGUAUUUGUAUCUUCGUUUUUAAUAAAGUUUAAAAAGUAAAGAAAAAAAUUGAAAAACAAUUGUAGAAUAAAGAUGUAGAGAAACUAGUCAAAAGUUAAAAAAUAAAGUUUAUAAUAAUGUUA
Non-coding RNA from Macaca mulatta (Rhesus monkey), 1724 nucleotides. Lineage: Eukaryota; Metazoa; Chordata; Mammalia; Primates; Cercopithecidae. The record is from RefSeq and is a predicted model, not a curated record.